This 442-nucleotide ribosomal RNA is filed under the name uncultured bacterium. RNAcentral describes it as "partial 16S ribosomal RNA". It matches the Rfam family "Bacterial small subunit ribosomal RNA", at positions 338 to 795 of the family's 1533-position model. The record is from RNAcentral.
CCUACGGGUGGCAGCAGUGGGGAAUAUUGGGCAAUGGACGCAAGUCUGACCCAGCAACGCCGCGUGAAGGAAGAAGGCUUUCGGGUUGUAAACUUCUUUCAAGGGGGAAGAGCAGAAGACGGUACCCCUUGAAUAAGCCACGGCUAACUACGUGCUAGCAGCCGCGGUAAUACGUAGGUGGCAAGCGUUGUCCGGAUUUACUGGGUGUAAAGGGCGUGCAGCCGGAGGGGCAAGUCAGAUGUGAAAUCCGCGGGCUCAACCCGCGGACUGCAUUGGAAACUGCUUCGCUGGAGUGUAGGAGAGGUAAGGGGAAUUCCUAGUGGAGGGGGGAAAGGCGGAGAUAUGAGGAGGAACACCAGUGGCGAAGGCGGAUUACUGGACGGUAACUGAGGUGGAGGCGCGAAAGGGUGGGGAGCAAACAGGAUUAGAUACCCGGGUAGUC